Molecule: long non-coding RNA, 286 nt
Filed under: Mytilus galloprovincialis (Mediterranean mussel)
Lineage: Eukaryota; Metazoa; Mollusca; Bivalvia; Mytilida; Mytilidae
Source: RNAcentral
UUUGUUGUAUUAUGUCACAUGAGUAUAGAAAUGAUAAAAAAAGACACCAUUUUUUAUUUCUUAUAGCCUCAAUAUGCAUUUUUUAAUGUAAAUAUGUGGCACGGCCUAAAUUGACCCUAAAUUAUUUCCAGUCUUACUUGGCCUAAGACCCUUUAAACUAAUAUGAUAUGUCAUUUGUAACUUUUCUUUCUAUUUAAAGUACAUUCAAUACAUAUGUAAGGAUUAUUUAUAGCCAAAAAGCUUCACAAAUUUAAAAUUGCUGGAAAAUAUUACAUCUUCAUGUAAG